GACGAACGCUGGCGGCGUGCUUAACACAUGCAAGUCGAACGGAAAGGCCCUGCUUUUGUGGGGUGCUCGAGUGGCGAACGGGUGAGUAACACGUGAGUAACCUGCCCUUGACUUUGGGAUAACUUCAGGAAACUGGGGCUAAUACCGGAUAGGAGCUCCUGCUGCAUGGUGGGGGUUGGAAAGUUUCGGCGGUGGGGGAUGGACUCGCGGCUUAUCAGCUUGUUGGUGGGGUAGUGGCGUGCCAAGGCUUUGACGGGUAGCCGGCCUGAGAGGGUGACCGGGGAGGUGGGGAGUGGGGUGCGGCGGAGAGUGGAAGGGGAGGGAGCAGUGGGGGAUAGUGAGCAGUGGGCGGAGGCCUGAUGCAGCAGCGCGGCGUGGGGGGUGACGGAGGUGGGGGUGUAAACGGUGUUGGCGUGGGGGGAGGCGUGGGUGAGGGUAAUGGGUAAAGAAGCACCGGCUAACUACGUG
RNAcentral lists this ribosomal RNA (468 nucleotides) under uncultured bacterium. Its description in RNAcentral is "partial 16S ribosomal RNA". It matches the Rfam family "Bacterial small subunit ribosomal RNA", at positions 28 to 507 of the family's 1533-position model. The record is from RNAcentral.